Molecule: long non-coding RNA, 517 nt
Organism: Armigeres subalbatus
Lineage: Eukaryota; Metazoa; Arthropoda; Insecta; Diptera; Culicidae
Exons: 3
Source: RefSeq, a predicted model, not a curated record
CCGCACUGCUGAGGUGUUGGGGAAAAAAAAAUAAAAAUAUUCUCGAAGCUGCUGAAACGAAUCGACAUUCCAACGAAUCAUCUGGUCCUCGCGGUCAGGAUGCGCUUCUUCCGACGACGUGUGCCGGAGUUCGUAUGGAUGCCGGCAUCAAAUCCCAUUGACGGCGGAUGCGGUCAAUUUGCCAUCGCUGGAUUUAAAAUGCGGAUUCAAAUAAACCGUAGGGAUGUGUUGCUGCUGCUGCUGAUCAAGCUGCCGAUGAUGUUGAUCGCGUGAGUGCUGUUUAUAAAAAUUCAUGAAGACCGUGAACAGAGGCCGUGAUGAUGCCUGCCUCCGGAAUGCAUGUGUUGCAGCGUUCUCGGCACAAGUUGGAAAGUCCUUCAACAACAGAUCCCGACAAUUAGAUGCCGGCAUAAACUAAAAUUAAUCGGAUGAGUCAACCAGAUCAUUUUACCCGUGCUAAAAAGGAAUUUUAACAUCAUGGAGUAUAUUCUAUAGCGCCGGAAAGAUAGGCAGGACA